RNAcentral lists this non-coding RNA (927 nucleotides) under Allobates talamancae (Talamanca rocket frog). RNAcentral describes it as "12S ribosomal RNA". It matches the Rfam family "Bacterial small subunit ribosomal RNA". Lineage: Eukaryota; Metazoa; Chordata; Amphibia; Anura; Aromobatidae. The record is from RNAcentral.
AAAGGUUUGGUCCUAGCCUUGAAGUCAGUUAUUUGUUAACAUACACAUGCAAGUCUCCGCACCCCUGUGAAAACGCCCUCAAAUCCCCUCCCGGGAUCAGGAGCCGGUAUCAGGCACAAUCAAUGCCCAAAACACCUAGCCUCGCCACACCCACAAGGGACCUCAGCAGUGAUUAACAUUGAACAUAAGCGACAGCUUGACUCAGUUAAACUAAUUAGAGCCGGCCAAUUUGGUGCCAGCCGCCGCGGUUACACCAGAAGCUCAAACUGACAUCUAUCGGCGUAAAGCGUGAUUAAAGCAACUUACCUUUGGAAUUAAAUUUGCACUGAGCUGUGAUAUGCCUGUACCAAAGAAAUCCGUAUACGAAAGUUAUUCCAUUUUAACCCACUUGAAUUCACGACACCUGAGACACAAACUGGGAUUAGAUACCCCACUAUGCUCAGGCGUAAACUUUAAUUUACACCAUAUUCGCCCGGGAACUACGAGCCAAGCUUAAAACCCAAAGGACUUGACGGUACCCCAUAUCCCCCUAGAGGAGCCUGUCCAAUAAUCGAUAAUCCACGUUUAACCUCACCAUUUUUAGCCUAUUCAGCCUGUAUACCUCCGUCGCCAGCUUACCACGUGAGCGUUAGUGAGUCUAAUGUUUUCUCAACAACACGUCAGGUCAAGGUGCAGCUCAUAAAAUGGGAAGAGAUGGGCUACACUUUCUAUCUUAGACAAUACGAAAGAUUACUUAUGAAAACUAAUCGGAAGGUGGAUUUAGCAGUAAAUAGAAACCAGAAAAUUCCUUUUAACUCGGCCCUGGGGUGUGUACACACCGCCCGUCACCCUCCUCGUAUGCUACAAACAGUUUUUAACCAAAUUUAGCUUCCCAGAAGAGGUAAGUCGUAACAUGGUAAGUAUACCGGAAGGUGUGCUUGGAAUCAG